GAGUGAAGAGGGAAGAGCUCAUCAUUGGAAUCUGGCAGUGUUACACUGUCCGAGUUGUAGAUGAGGAGUAGUCCGUCUGGACUGCAUGGCGUCCAAGUACAAUAGGCCGUCAGUGGGACAUCAUAGAGGGUGACAAUCCCGUCCUUGACGCCAAUGUGCAAGUCUAUUACGAUGGCUAUCUCAGAGAGUCGAGCAGUUUGGGAUUUGCUGCUUAAACAUGGGAGGUAGAUUCCUUCUAAAGCUAAAUACAGGCGAGAGACCGAUAGAGAACAAGUACCGCAAGGGAAAGAUGAAAUAGCACUCUGUGAAGGGAGUCAAAAGGCGUGAAAUUGUUGCGAGAGAAGCGAUUCAAGUCAGCGUAGCUAGGCCCAUCAAGCGUCUUCGCUUUGGACUAGCUUUGCCAGCGGUCUUGUCCCUUAAAGAGACUUGACUUGUAAUAUGUCCAGCCUGGCGUGCACAGGCAGCCCCUUCUGGGGGCCAGUGGCAUGGCUGGUGGAAUGGCUUGCAAUCGACCCGUCUUGAAACACGGACCAAGGAGUCUAACAUGUAUGCGAGUAUAAGGGUGGCAAACCCGUAUGCGCAAUGAAAGUGAUUUUCGGUGAUUGAGAAUGGCCUGAUGACCAGACAAGCAAUAUAUGUCCCUCGUACGGCCAUUGCCCAAGUUCCGUGGUAGAUCCCACGAACAUGGAGUUGGAGCAUACAUGCUAGGACCCGAAAGAUGGUGAACUAUGCCUGGACAAAGCGAAGCCAAAGGAAACUCUGGUGGAGGCUUGUAGCGAUUCUGACGUGCAAAUCGAUCGUCUGAUCUGGGUAUAGGGGCGAAAGACUAAUC
This 832-nucleotide ribosomal RNA is filed under the name Cantharellus roseocanus. Its description in RNAcentral is "LSU rRNA". It matches the Rfam family "Eukaryotic large subunit ribosomal RNA", at positions 91 to 936 of the family's 3401-position model. Lineage: Eukaryota; Fungi; Basidiomycota; Agaricomycetes; Cantharellales; Hydnaceae. The record is from RNAcentral.